Molecule: ribosomal RNA, 626 nt
Filed under: uncultured bacterium
Lineage: Bacteria
Description: bacterial SSU rRNA
Rfam family: Bacterial small subunit ribosomal RNA
Source: RNAcentral
GGGCGUAAGCGCGCGCAGGCGGAUCAGUCAGUCUGUCUUAAAAGUUCGGGGCUUAACCCCGUGAUGGGAUGGAAACUGCUGAUCUAGAGUAUCGGAGAGGAAAGUGGAAUUCCUAGUGUAGCGGUGAAAUGCGUAGAUAUUAGGAAGAACACCAGUGGCGAAGGCGACUUUCUGGACGAAAACUGACGCUGAGGCGCGAAAGCCAGGGGAGCGAACGGGAUUAGAUACCCCGGUAGUCCUGGCCGUAAACGAUGGGUACUAGGUGUAGGAGGUAUCGACCCCUUCUGUGCCGGAGUUAACGCAAUAAGUACCCCGCCUGGGGAGUACGACCGCAAGGUUGAAACUCAAAGGAAUUGACGGGGGCCCGCACAAGCGGUGGAGUAUGUGGUUUAAUUCGACGCAACGCGAAGAACCUUACCAGGUCUUGACAUUGAUGGACAGAACCAGAGAUGGUUCCUCUUCUUCGGAAGCCAGAAAACAGGUGGUGCACGGUUGUCGUCAGCUCGUGUCGUGAGAUGUUGGGUUAAGUCCCGCAACGAGCGAACCCCUAUCUUAUGUUGCCAGCACGUAAUGGUGGGAACUCAUGAGAGACUGCCGCAGACAAUGCGGAGGAAGGCGGGGAUGAC